This is a long non-coding RNA of Athene cunicularia (burrowing owl), 742 nucleotides long. RefSeq lists it as uncharacterized. NCBI's taxonomy places the organism in Eukaryota, Metazoa, Chordata, Aves, Strigiformes, Strigidae. The record is from RefSeq and is a predicted model, not a curated record. The transcript has 4 exons.
CGGCAGCUUACCGGGCGCUGGAAGGCAGCGGCCAGGCUGACGGCAAAGCAGAGGCAGCCCGCACCGGGUUUGAAAGCACGGCUCAUGAUCUUAAGACGUAACUAAUCUGGCAGAUAAGGACAGUAAACACAGGCUCCAGGCGGAAAGGAGCGGGCACCGACCUCUCCCCGCCCCGGGAGAAGCACGGCAGGGAGAGGGACGCCGUCUCUGCUGCCACCACUCACUGGGUACAGGAUUAGUGAGACGAAAAGGUCCCUGGAAAUCAACACGCACGCGGACCACGCGUUCGCGAGGAACAGGCUCAGAUGCGUGAUGCUCCUCUUUUUCCUCAAUGAGUCAUCUGCAUCUCGCACCAACAGUCCCCGAGAAAGAUGGCGAGACAGCGGCCGCGGCUCCCAUCCCCACACCGCCAGCCUGGGCGAGCUGCCAAGCAGAAUCUGUCCACCCCACCCCACCCCAUCCCAUCGCAGCCAGCUCGCCAGCCCACUCCCAGAAUAAAGUUAGAAAACGCUUCAUGGCCUGAGAAUAUUUCAAAGAAAAUUCACACAACACAUCCCUGAAUCUGCCCAAAUUGGUUACAAAUCCUUUGCCUGCUGAAGAGAGGCAUGUGUCAUCUCCAAGUACAUCUUACAGCUCUCUAAGAAAGCCACUCACUGUGUCAAGGACCCGAGGCUCCAAAGGGAGCUCUAAAAUUCUACUUGAAAAACCGAAUCUGUAAUGCAAUAUCCAUGUAGCAAUGACG